CGCUAGGGGCCCCGUGCGGUCAGGCCGGGGCGACCUCCACCCGCACCCACGCCUCAUGGGGCUCCCGGGUCUUGGCCGCGGCUGGGAUCCCCGGAAAAGCAGGGACGGAGAAGCCAGGCCGGCAUGCCCGCCCUCCUUCCCCCGGGAGGACCCAACAACUCCGGAAAGAUCCUGCCGGGAGAUGUGCUCGCUUUCCCCGGGGCAGCGGGGGAAAGCCCAGCAAAGGCACAUUGAAAAUUAAAAAGAAAAAAAAAAUUACGCCGAGUGGAAGAAGCAAUCGGGGCCGCGGCGGCGGCCCACACCAGGCAUAUUGGACCUUGCCCAUCUACACCUCAGCCCCACAGAGCAAGGAGAGGGCCAUUGGCAAGGAACUGAGGUGGCCUUCGAUCAACAGCCCACAAGGAAUGGAAUCCUGCCAAUAACAAUCAAAUGGUCCGAGGCAUCCAAGCAUGGCCUAUUGCCUGUGUCUUUAUUCUGAACAGAACAGGGCAGCCUUGGGAAAAUGCUGGCUGCUCAGCUAGCUCACUUAAAAAAAAUCACGUAAGCACUCCCUCUGCUCCUCUUAUUGGUGUUCAAGGCUUGAAGAGAGCUUUAGGGAAGGGUGUCUAAUGGAUCACAUGACUGUACCUACUGGUCCUUUUCCUGCCUUGUUAAUUACAAGGUGUUAUGAUCUUCACCACAGAUUGAUUACAUAAAGGGGAUCAUUUCUUCAUCCCCACCAUUUGCCAUGUAACUUUGUCAUGCCCUGUAUCUCUGACUCUGGCCUCUGUCAUUGACUUGCUGUGCCAAUGUUAGCAAAUGUGAAGCACACACAGGCUUGAAUAGCACUGUGCAACGGGACUUGUUAACACUUACCUUCUACUGUUGCUACAUGAACAUGCCCAGGCUAGCCUGAUGGAUGAUGAGAGACAUGUGGAAUAGAGCAGAGUCACCACAUUCAUCUCAGCUGAGACCUUUCUAGAUGGGUCAACAGCCCUCUACCCCCAGACGUGUGAGCCAGCCCAGCCAAGAUCAGCCAAGUCCAACCUGAAUAAUUGAACACUGAGGUCUUGUUGCAGAAUAAAAGUGUAUUAUUGUAACCCACAGUGGCUUUAUGAUUUUUAAUUAUGCAGCAGUAUUGUGGCAGCAGAUAAUUGAUACAGCCCUCAAAUGGAUAAUCUCUUUGGGUAUGGAGAAACAGGAUUUGGAAACCCAUAAGUGUAAGCCUUCAUAUAUGGGUAGAACAGGUUUCUUGCUCACAAGAGACACCAACUUAAAUUGAAAAGAAAGUGGUUUUGGACUAGUGCUAGGUACUGGUGCAUAAACCCAUGUAUAUACGCACAGGCUCUUGAGGGGUCAGUGAAAGAAGCUGCUGAAAUGUCACUCGUAGAAUGGGCUUCAAACAGGAGUGGGAUUUUCUCACCUUCAUCUAACUCCCUGCUGUUCUUUAAUGCAACUCUCCUAAGCCCCCAGCAUCCAGGUGUUCCUUUUGCCAUUUAUGAUGCUGCUUCUCUCCUACUUUGGGAUACCCUCCCUCUUUUCUGUUCAUCAUUAUCCCCCUGAUGCUAACCCAUUGAAUGGCUCUAUUUUCCUCUUCUCUGCAGUACUUUUAGGUUUUCAGCAUCUGUGUUACAUGCACUAGGCUUUGGUUUUAUAUGAUUACACAUCAGACUGCAACUAUUCUACAUCUAAUCCCUUAAUUAAUCUAUAAGCUCCUGAGAGGAAAGCUAUGGUACUAAAUGCUUUCACAGCGUAAGGCCAAAGUAAAUGCUUUUGGCACUAAGUAAAGGUUUCACAUAUAUUCAUGCCUUGAUUGAGGUGGAACAGGAGACCUACUAGUGAUAUUUAAUAGAAUGCUACCAAUUUCUUCUGUCUGACUGAAAGGCUCAUAGAUUCUAAGCCAUUCCUUUCCAGAAACAUCUUUAAGAACCAUGCUGCAAUUGCUUGUUGAUCAAGGCUUGUCUAACUAUGGUCCUGCUUGAAGGCAGAGAAGCCAUUUCUAUUCAUCCAACCAACCAUUCAAUAAAUAGUUAAUAGGUUCCUUCUAUGUAGAGGAGAUCUCUAUUAUGUAAGGAUAAGUGAUAGAAGAGAAAGACUUGAGUAUAAAUCCACUGAAAAUCAAGGACCAAAAUUUUAUAAGAGUGAAUAAAGUAAAAUGAUCUCAUUGGGUCUGCAUAUUGAUUAAAAUGAAACAAAUAAUUUAUUUUACCUUAUAUUUAGCAAAAUAUAGACUAUAAACACAACAAUUUGUUAACUCUGAGAAUGAACAAAGAAUGAAUCAAAGGAUGAGAUUUUGGCAUAUUUUUUGACAUCCCUUACCUAACCAUUGAUCUUUAUUGAAAUUUUAAAAAGUCAUGUUAAUUACCCUGACUUGAUUAUUACACGU
Long non-coding RNA from Homo sapiens (human), 2365 nucleotides. The record is from Ensembl. Lineage: Eukaryota; Metazoa; Chordata; Mammalia; Primates; Hominidae.